RNAcentral lists this ribosomal RNA (376 nucleotides) under uncultured bacterium. RNAcentral's name for it is "bacterial SSU rRNA". It matches the Rfam family "Bacterial small subunit ribosomal RNA", at positions 524 to 898 of the family's 1533-position model. The record is from RNAcentral.
AACGUAGGAGCCAAGCGUUAUCCGAAUUCACUGGGCGUAAAGCGCGUGCAGGCGGCUCGAUAAGUUGGAUGUGAAAGCUCCCGGCUCAACUGGGAGAGGCCGUUCAAUACUGUCGGGCUAGAGGGCGGCAGAGGGAGGUGGAAUUCCCGGUGUAGUGGUGAAAUGCGUAGAUAUCGGGAGGAACACCAGUGGCGAAGGCGGCCUUCUGGGCCGUACCUGACGCUCAGACGCGACAGCUAGGGGAGCAAACGGGAUUAGAAACCCCGGUAGUCCUAGCCGUAAACGAUGUAGACUUGAUGUCGGCGGGGUAAAAGCCGUCGGUGCCGAAGCAAACGCGAUAAGUCUACCGCCUGGGGACUACGGCCGCAAGGUUAAA